UACGUAGGGUGCAAGCGUUUGUCCGGAAUUAUUGGGCGUAAAGAGCUCGUAGGCGGUCUGUCGCGUCGGCUGUGAAAACCCGGGGCUCAACCCCGGGCCUGCAGUCGAUACGGGCAGACUAGAGUGCGGUAGGGGAGACUGGAAUUCCUGGUGUAGCGGUGAAAUGCGCAGAUAUCAGGAGGAACACCGGUGGCGAAGGCGGGUCUCUGGGCAGUAACUGACGCUGAGGAGCGAAAGCGUGGGGAGCGAACAGG
Molecule: ribosomal RNA, 254 nt
Filed under: uncultured bacterium
Lineage: Bacteria
Description: partial 16S ribosomal RNA
Rfam family: Bacterial small subunit ribosomal RNA
Source: RNAcentral